AGGCAAGUAUACGUCAGAGUCAUGGAUUGGAUUAAAGAAAAAUUCAACUGGAACAUUCAAUUGGGCUUCCGACAACUCCGUCGUUACGUUUACGAGCUGGGACAAUAGUGAACCAAGCAGUGGAGAUUGCGUCUCUAUUUCCAACGGCAUGUGGAGGACUAGAUCUUGCGGUGAAAAUCUGAAGUACAUAUGUCAAAGAGGCACAUACCCAUAGGUUAGCGAUGAUCUCUGAUUCUGGCAACUGGAAGGAACCAUUGG
This is a long non-coding RNA of Macrobrachium nipponense, 258 nucleotides long. RefSeq lists it as uncharacterized. The record is from RefSeq and is a predicted model, not a curated record. The transcript is spliced from 3 exons. NCBI's taxonomy places the organism in Eukaryota, Metazoa, Arthropoda, Malacostraca, Decapoda, Palaemonidae.